GACGCAGCUAACGCAUUAAGUGCCCCGCCUGUGAGUACGAUCGCAAGAUUAAAACUCAAAGGAAUUGACGGGGCCCCGCACAAGCAGCGGAGCAUGCGGCUUAAUUCGACGCAACGCGAAGAACCUUACCAAGGCUUGACAUAUACAGGAAUAUGGCAGAGAUGUCAUAGCCGCAAGGUCUGUAUACAGGUGGUGCAUGGUUGUCGUCAGCUCGUGUCGUGAGAUGUUGGGUUAAGUCCCGCAACGAGCGCAACCCUCGUUCUGUGUUGCCAGCAUUUAGUUGGGGACUCACAGGAGACUGCCGGGGUUAACUCGGAGGAAGGUGGGGAUGACGUCAAAUCAUCAUGCCCCUUAUGUCUUGGGCUGCACGCAUGCUACAAUGGCUGGUACAAACGGCUGCGAUACCGCAAGGUGGAGCGAAUCCGAUAAAGCCAGUCUCAGUUCGGAUUGGGGUCUGCAACUCGACCCCAUGAAGUCGGAGUUGCUAGUAAUCGUAGAUCAGCAACGCUACGGUGAAUACGUUCCCGGGGCUUGUACACACCGCCCGUCACGUCACGA
This 558-nucleotide ribosomal RNA is filed under the name uncultured Actinomycetes bacterium. RNAcentral describes it as "bacterial SSU rRNA". It matches the Rfam family "Bacterial small subunit ribosomal RNA", at positions 845 to 1407 of the family's 1533-position model. Lineage: Bacteria; Bacillati; Actinomycetota; Actinomycetes. The record is from RNAcentral.